AAUUUGCGGUUUGAUUUUUCCAUAGUUCGUAAGUGCCGACGUAGACACUAGGUUUCAUCUCUAGGCAGUUGUUUAGCAGUUAGUACCUAGCACAAUUUUGAGCAAUUGAAGACUAAAAUAACGACAGAAGUGAGAGCCAUAAUAUAAGUUGACGCUUUGAAGAGUGAUUACACACGUGAUGGAAAACAUUUUGUCGGCAUAAUAUUCCUUACACAAGAUCAGAAUACAUUAUAAUUUACUUUUUUUUAACCACUCACGUACGUGGGUACUACAGUACCCAAAAAAAUAAUGGCGGCAUCCGUACAUGGGUACUACAGUACCCAAAACGACGAGUUUAAGAAAAUGACAUCUAGUUCAAACAGAACGUGUUAGAGAUAAACGUUUUUAUCGACGUAGAACGAUAGCUUAGGAAAUAGUUUACCCAAUUAACUAGAUGGCAAUGAAAUAUGAACAGUUCUUUGUAAAAAAAAUCCAAAGUCGGUUGUCAUGUUCUUGUGAAUUUUCUGAACAAGUGUUUCACAAUUUCAACAAUUAUGUUAGAUGAUUUAAGAUUUUGCUGCUUUGGACGGGGCGAAUUUUCUCAGUUCCCCAAUUUGUCACAGUCCACAGACUAGCUGCCAGGAAGACGACGUUUCAACUUAGAGACACAUCGGGAACAACUCAAGAUGGGAUUCAAGUGCACAGGCGCUAAUAAAAGAUUUAAUUUGGCAUCUGGUAGAUAGUUUCGGAGACCCCAGAGCUGGAUCUUUACUCGCUCAACGAAUAAAUAUCAUACUUACGAGGAAAU
Molecule: long non-coding RNA, 787 nt
Organism: Pieris rapae (cabbage white)
Lineage: Eukaryota; Metazoa; Arthropoda; Insecta; Lepidoptera; Pieridae
Exons: 3
Source: RefSeq, a predicted model, not a curated record